GAUGUGGAGGAACACCGAUGGCGAAGGCAGCCCCCUGGGAUGACACUGACGCUCAUGUACGAAAGCGUGGGUAGCAAACAGGAUUAGAUACCCUGGUAGUCCACGCCCUAAACGAUGUCAACUGGUUGUUGGGGGAGUGAAAUCCCUUAGUAACGAAGCUAACGCGUGAAGUUGACCGCCUGGGGAGUACGGUCGCAAGAUUAAAACUCAAAGGAAUUGACGGGGACCCGCACAAGCGGUGGAUGAUGUGGAUUAAUUCGAUGCAACGCGAAAAACCUUACCUACCCUUGACAUGUCCGGAAUCCUGCGGAGAUGCGGGAGUGCUCGAAAGAGAACCGGAACACAGGUGCUGCAUGGCUGUCGUCAGCUCGUGUCGUGAGAUGUUGGGUUGAGUCCCGCAACGAGCGCAACCCUUAUCAUUAGUUGCUACGCAAGGGCACUCUAAUGAGACUGCCGGUGACAAACCGGAGGAAGGUGGGGAUGACGUCAAGUCCUCAUGGCCCUUAUGGGUAGGGCUUCACACGUCAUACAAUGGUCGGUACAGAGGGUUGCCAAGCCGCGAGGUGGAGCCAAUCCCAGAAAGCCGAUCGUAGUCCGGAUUGUUCUCUGCAACUCGAGAGCAUGAAGUCGGAAUCGCUAGUAAUCGCGGAUCGGCAUGUCGCGGUGAAUACGUUCCCGGGUCUUGUACACACCGCCCGUCACACCAUGGGAGUGGAAUCUGGCAGAAGUAGGUAGCCUAACCGCAAGGAGGACGCUUACCACGCUGGGUUUCAUGACUGGGGUGAAGUCGUAACAAGGUA
This 800-nucleotide ribosomal RNA is filed under the name uncultured bacterium. RNAcentral's name for it is "bacterial SSU rRNA". It matches the Rfam family "Bacterial small subunit ribosomal RNA", at positions 695 to 1498 of the family's 1533-position model. The record is from RNAcentral.